Molecule: transfer RNA, 73 nt
Filed under: Mus musculus (house mouse)
Lineage: Eukaryota; Metazoa; Chordata; Mammalia; Rodentia; Muridae
Also listed under: 1 other name
Rfam family: tRNA
About the family: Transfer RNA (tRNA) molecules are approximately 80 nucleotides in length. Their secondary structure includes four short double-helical elements and three loops (D, anti-codon, and T loops).
Source: Rfam by way of RNAcentral
AGGGAUGUAGCUCAAUUGGUAGAGUAUUUGCCUAUCAGACACGAAGCCUUGGGUUUGAUUCCCAGCAUCACAU